CUGUAACCCUGUAUACAAGCUCUCAAAAGCUGCCGUCUUAGCCGCCGUAACUGCUAACUUAGCCUCCUUCCUAGCUAACUUGUACUCUUUUCUGUUUACCCGCUUCUCUUCUUCGUCUUUACUCUCAACCAACUUAGCAUACGCCCCUCUCUUGGUUUCCACUUUCUUCUGAACCUCUUCAUUCCACCACCAAUCCUUCCGAUGAUGCCCGACCCGGCCCCUAGAAACACCCAACACCUCACUAGCAUUCUCCCUGAUGCACCUAGCCACCCUAUCCCACAUACUAUCCACGUCCCCCCU
This 300-nucleotide long non-coding RNA is filed under the name Capsicum annuum. RNAcentral describes it as "long non-coding RNA (CANN_LNC002988)". Lineage: Eukaryota; Viridiplantae; Streptophyta; Magnoliopsida; Solanales; Solanaceae. The record is from RNAcentral.